Molecule: long non-coding RNA, 216 nt
Organism: Cydia amplana
Lineage: Eukaryota; Metazoa; Arthropoda; Insecta; Lepidoptera; Tortricidae
Exons: 2
Source: RefSeq, a predicted model, not a curated record
CGCCGCGGCCGCAGCCCUGGCGGCGCGCCUCGACACGUGGCGCGCGGCCGCCGGAGCGGCGGCUGACCUGCUCGGGGCACAACCCGACCUGCUCACGCUAUAGAUUAGCAGCAGGUCUUCAAGAGUUCCCGCUAUUAAUAUUACCCAUAGAUUAAUGUAUUUGUAUCAAACCCGACUAAUGUCAUGUUGCUAUAAAAAUAAAUAAUAAAUAAAACA